Molecule: ribosomal RNA, 253 nt
Filed under: uncultured bacterium
Lineage: Bacteria
Description: partial 16S ribosomal RNA
Rfam family: Bacterial small subunit ribosomal RNA
Source: RNAcentral
UACGAAGGGGGCUAGCGUUGCUCGGAAUUACUGGGCGUAAAGGGCGCGUAGGCGGAUCGUUAAGUUAGAGGUGAAAGCCCAGGGCUCAACCCUGGAAUUGCCUUUGAUACUGGCGAUCUUGAGUAUGGGAGAGGUAAGCGGAACUCCGAGUGUAGAGGUGAAAUUCGUAGAUAUUCGGAAGAACACCAGUGGCGAAGGCGGCUUACUGGCCCAUUACUGACGCUGAGGCUCGAAAGCGUGGGGAGCAAACAGG